This 469-nucleotide ribosomal RNA is filed under the name uncultured bacterium. Its description in RNAcentral is "partial 16S ribosomal RNA". It matches the Rfam family "Bacterial small subunit ribosomal RNA", at positions 28 to 507 of the family's 1533-position model. The record is from RNAcentral.
GACGAACGCUGGCGGCGUGCUUAACACAUGCAAGUCGAACGGAAAGGCCCUGCUUGCAGGGUGCUCGAGUGGCGAACGGGUGAGUAACACAUGGGUGAUCUGCCCCUUACUUUGGGAUAAGCCUGGGAAACUGGGUCUAAUACUGGAUAGGACCAUGCUGUAGGUGGUGUGGUGGAAAGAUUAGUUUCGGUAAGGGAUGAGCUCGCGGCCUAUCAGCUUGUUGGUGGGGUAAUGGCCUACCAAGGCGUCGACGGGUAGCCGGCCUGAGAGGGUGGACGGCCACAUUGGGACUGAGAUACGGCCCAGACUCCUACGGGAGGCAGCAGUGGGGAAUAUUGCACAAUGGGCGCAAGCCUGAUGCAGCGACGCCGCGGGGGGGAUGACGGCCUUCGGGUUGUAAACUCCUUUCAGCCAUGACGAAGCCCUUGUGGUGACGGUAGUGGUAGAAGAAGCACCGGCUAACUACGUG